Long non-coding RNA from Sceloporus undulatus (fence lizard), 2976 nucleotides. RefSeq lists it as uncharacterized. NCBI's taxonomy places the organism in Eukaryota, Metazoa, Chordata, Lepidosauria, Squamata, Phrynosomatidae. The record is from RefSeq and is a predicted model, not a curated record. The transcript has 3 exons.
CAGAAGAAUUGGUUUCAGUCUCAUUAAUAGGAAAAUUUCCCCUUAUACUGAGCAUUAAGAAGGAAUUUCCAAAACACUGAAAGCUGUUCCACCCAACCGGCAGUGUGAUCUUCAUCCUGGCAAGGCCACCCUGCCUAGAGGUGAUGGGAAAUCUAGAUUCUCUUGCCUUUGGCUAUGGUUUUGGAUGAAAAGAUGAUCUUCUGGAGAGAAUCUAAAUGUGUGGUGCCUUUGUAAGAUCAGAAAGUCCUUCAAAACAGAGGACACUUCCCUGUAGAAGAACACCCUGUCCAUAUGGCCCUUCCAAUGGAGGACUGGUCUAUGUAAAAUAGGACACAUGGCUGCCUUGCCCAGUGAGCUUCAUAGCCAAAUAAUAGCAUUUGAAUGAACAUUUUGCCUGCUGCUUCAGGAAAGGAACUUACAGAACUUUGCCUCCCCUCUCUCCCAACCCUUGUACCAGUGUCUACUGUAGUCCCCACUGGUACAGAGGAUGGAAGGGUGGGUGGCGCAGAAGUAUGACCCAAAGAGAACCAAGCCGCCUCCCCGCUUGGAUGACCUCUCUAAACCAAGACAGAACCAACUCUCAGAUCCCCACUUCUCUUUGCUGAAAGCAGAUGACACAAAGGUUUUUUGAUGUUUUUAAAUAGAGGCUGGAUGGCCUUCUGUCAGGAGUGCUUUUAAUGAGUAUUCCUGCAUGGCAGCAAGUUGGACUUCAUGGCCCUUGAGGUUUCUUCCAAUUCUGCGAUUCUAUAAUUCUAUAACCACAGUCUCUGCUGUUUGUAUAGCCUUUGCUUUUGAAAUUUUCAUAAUGAUUUUCUUCUGAAAUCAUGUGUUCAAUAAAAUCUUCUGGACUAUCACAAUCUGAUGGGUUUUAAUUAUUUGCAAUUAAAGAGAGAGAGAGAAUUAACUUUUGAUUUUUUGGUUACAAGGUUGUGCUGGCGGCUUUGUCCAGACAUGGAAUUAUUAAAAAUGAAAAGGGUGCAGUGAUUGCAAAAGGGCAGCUUAUACCUCUAUAACAGAGGACCCCUACCCAAAGUUAGCAGAUUUUUGAUGUCAUGAAAAGGCACCAUAUUUUUUGCUCUUUAAUUUGUUAUUAUAUCUUUACCGCCAGAGAGGGAAACAGUUGCAUGUGGGACUUCCUUGGGAUCAAAAUAGCUUUGCUUACUCAAGCUAAUAUGUAUCUUCAUUUAAUUAGAAAAGGGGCAUCUGCUGUUCUGCCUCAGGUAGAAAAAUAUCAUAGGCUGGUGCAAUAGUAUCAGAAUCUAGAGAAAAUGAUCAGUUGUAGCUAUUUUAAACUAUCCUGUUAAUUGCUUCUUAACUGUUAAAAAAGUGUUUGACACCCACUAAACCACCAUUAAAAUAUUUAACACUCCUAGCUUUUCCAAAGCUGGCACUGAAAAGGGAUCUGAAGAAAGAGCACACAGAUUCCAAAGCUAAGUGGGGAUUAAUGGCAAGCUUGGCUCAAUUCUCACACUUGCAAACCAUUAUAUCCUUCUUCAAACAUGUCCAAAGGGCGGUAGCUGUGUUAGUCUGUUGCAAGCAAAACCCACAGGGAGUCUUGUAGCACCUUCAAGAUGAACAAGUUUUAUUUGGCAUAAACUUUGGUGGAAGUGGGCUGCCAUCCAAGAAACCUUAUGCCAAAUAAAACUUGUUAGCCUUUCAGGUGUCACAGAUCUUCCUUGUUUUUCCUUCUUUCAAGUAGCCGCCUGUUAUUUCUUUCCCUUGUAAUGUGCUGCCAUCCAGAGGUCCUUUUAGGGAAAUGGCAUAGGAUAGUUAUGGACAGAGAAUACAAACCUAGACAGAUGCAGAUCUGAUUGACUUAACUUUCUGUUAAAUGUGAAUACAUUUGCAAGUUCAAAGGUUAUUGGAACAUAAUUGGUGCUUGCUGCCAGUAAUGAACUUGUUCUAUAUGUAGCAUAGUUUUAAAAGCACACAGUGAUUACUUAUAUAUCAAAUUAAACAAUCAACAUAUUAUUAAAAUGUAAGGAGUAAUUUGGAGUUGAAGGCACAUAACAAUAAGAUUGAUUGUUGAAUCUGAUAUAUUUCAAUUGUUAAUACAGUCAGCGUCAGUAUCCAUAAAUAUUUUUAUCCACGGAUUUUAUCUCCCAUAGCUUGAAAAUAUUUUUUAAAACUAUAAAUCCCCAAAAACAAGCAUUGAUUUUGCUAUCUUAUGGUGCGAGACAGACCGCACCAAAAGGGUGGCCUGCUGGCGGCCUAAUUCCCUCUGGAGGGAAGCUGCAGCCGCCAACCCAUGUGGCUUCCCUCCGGAGGAAAAAGAACCCAGAAAAAAUGGGUUCUUUUUGCGCCGCAGGGUGGACGUUAUGAGUGCACCAAUGACGCACUCACGAUAUAGGUGAUGCAUGGGGCUGUGCAGAUGCCCGCAGCACUUACAUCACAAUGACGCUGGCGUGUACGCAGGAUGCCACCAUUGUUACUCCGCCACGCUGUGCUAGGUUUAGGGAGCGUGCAGUUGUUGUAUGGUCCCUAAUUCUAAACUUGAUGCCAGCACGGCACAUUUGGGUGAUCUGUACAGUACCAUAAAUAAUGGAUAUAAUUUUACUGUGCCACUGUAUUUAAUGGGACUUGAGCAUCCAUACCUUUUGUUAUCCACAGGACAUCCUGGAACCAAACCCCAGUGGAUACUGAGGGCCUACUGUAUUAGAUGUAAAUGUUACUUAAUAAUACAGAUCAUCAAAAAUCAAACCAGUUGGUUAAACUUGUUUACAUUUGCAGCCAAUUAGAUGUGGAAAGGAUUUUUAAGUUGAUGGGUGCUGUACUUACUUUAUUGAUGUGCUUUUAAAUUUUUCAUAUUUCAGUUGUGUUUUAAUAUUACAAUUUUAAAAACUGUUUUAAUAUUAAAUAUUUUGUGAUUUUAUCUGUACCUUUUUUUGCUAUCUAAUCCUGGUAUGAAUGUGUUUGAAUUCCAGAUUUGAAAGAAAAGUAGCAUGGAAAUGAAAUAAAUACACAGAUUUUGAAACA